This 6834-nucleotide long non-coding RNA is filed under the name Jatropha curcas. Its description in RNAcentral is "long non-coding RNA (JCUR_LNC002543)". Lineage: Eukaryota; Viridiplantae; Streptophyta; Magnoliopsida; Malpighiales; Euphorbiaceae. The record is from RNAcentral.
AAAGCCAAUGUCCUUGGCUAUGAAGUGGCUUCCACUCACCGCUACAAUAAUUGAUUAAAGCACAUAUAUAUUAUUAAUUAGACAAAUAUUAAAACAAAGAAAAAACAAGGAAUUUAGAUAUUACUACUUACAAACAGUUGAUGUUUUGAAUGUUUGGACACCAGCAGCAUAGUUGAGGUCUCCGGUGAUCUUUGUCUUAGUAGCACCAUCACCGAUCAUCAUAAUAUGGGACAAGCUCCUUGAGAUGGUGACUUGCUGCUUGUAGAUCCCUUUCUUUAUAUAUAUAACAAAUGUUGUGUUUUGCUUCUUGGGAAUCUUGUGAACAGCUUCAUUAAUAGUCUUGUAUUGGCCACUCCCGUCUUUAGCAACAACGAUAUCAGGCUUAAUUGUGUCUGGAGUUUGUGCAAGUAGUCUCCUUUUUUCAUGGGACAACCAGGAAGGAAACUCAGAGUUAUCUUUCAACAGUCUACGUCCUGUAAAUCCUGCAAGGUUCAAAUCCUUAAGCGUGGAAGAGAGACCAGUGAUCAAAGCAAGACCGUUGCUGCUAAGUUGACUAGAAAGAGUUAGGAUUUCCUUCAUUUUGGCUCCGGCUGGACCAGUAGUAUUGUCAAAGCCAUCCAAACAAGUUUGUUGAUAAGUGAUGGUGGCGCUAAGCCAAGUCUUGAGAUUUGCCAGAUACUCAUCCAUUUUAUUAACAUCAAAGUGUUCAACUUCUUCGAAGGAAACCUUGAGAUCAUGAAUGGCGUCGUCCAUUAAUUCUUUGCAAUUAUCAAGCGCUUGUUUUGCCAUUGGAUCUUUUGCUACAUCUUUUAAUGUGGAUGAGUUCUGUAAGGCUUGUUGAAGAGCAUCAAUGGUCACCUGAAAGCCGGCCUGUACAAGCUUGAGAGGAUCGGUGGUGUUUCCUGCGGCUUUGCUAAGACUUUUUCCACAGAUUUCUCUGUAAUCCGUAGGUUGGCAGAUAGCCUGGACUGACUUCGACGACGUGGAUAUUUCGGCCGAAGCGUUUGAGCCAUUUUGGUGGUCGCCGCUGUUGAUUCCAUAUGCCACAGCAAUCACCAUAGCCACCAGAAGAAAUGAUGCGACGCCAAAAAUGGCAUACUUCUUUUUCUUCCCGGUUGGAUCUCCGGCGCCGCCACCAGCCAUCUGCGUUAGUCUUAGUUUAAGCUACAAAACCACCAAUCUUCUUGUUUUUUUUAGGAGAAUAUGAUCAAGAAGAGAAACAAAAUUGGAGGAAAUAAAAACCUAAUCAAUGUUAUUAAGAAGUAUACAGAGCUGUUGGGGCUUUAAGAUUAUUGAAUAAAUGCCCCGAAGCUCUGACUUGGGAAAACAAAGCAUAGAGAAACCCUUUAUAUAUGAAGUGAAAUUCUAAAAAACUGUUAUUUCUGUUACAAAUUUGUGGGGUGUGGAAGAGACUUUACUAAAAUUAGGGUAAUUUUUUCCGAUAAUAAUAGUACUUUUAAAACAAUGUUUAUUUCUUCUUUUAUUACUCAAUCAAUAAAAUAAUAAUAUUUGAUUUCUUAUUUAAAUUCAAGAAUAAUAAUAUCUAUAUAAAUAUUUUUAUGAUUUCUUUUUGUCUAAAUUGACUCAAAUUAAAAUUUUGAAGAUUGAAAAAAUUAAUAAAUUAGUUAUAAUUUCAUUUAUACAAAUUGCCUAUUUUUAUUUGAGAAAUAUUAUAUAUCUAAUAUAUUCAAAUUAAAAGAUAUUAUUUUGUAUAUUCGAAUUAAAAAAAUUUAUAAAUGGAUAAAAUAUUAAUUUUUACUCAAAAUAACGAGUUGUAAAAUUAUAAUGAGUAACUUACUUAAAGAUAAUAAACACAACACUAAUUUUAACCUUUGCUAUAUAUUUAGAUGUAUAUAUCACUUAGUAUAAAUGUAAAAAAAAAAAAAAAAAAAAAGUUCUUAUUGUCUUUAAUAUUUUAUGUACUUUUUUUUAACUAAUUAUGAAUAUAGAUUGUCAUUGAUGAUUAUUUAAAUAAUAAAUUAAUGAUGAAAUUAAUUUCAUCAAUAAUUUUAUUAAUUAUUGUUUUUUUUUAAUAUUUUAAAUUAUUAUAGGUUGAAAAUAAAAUUUUGUUGUUAAAAAAUUUAUAAUAAAGUGUUUCCAAGUAAGACAAAAAUGAACAUAUAUGGAUUUUCAGUUGGAAAAAUAUAUUUGUAUUUGUAUAAUAAUAAAUAUUUUAUCAAAACUCUACUAGAAGUAUUAUUAUCAAAUUGUACUGAAAAACUAUUAUGCUUUAUUACAUAAUUACAUGUAUAUGGCAAAAUUAAUAUAGUAUUCAGAAUGUGGUUUACAAGUUAAAUUAUUAUGUAUGAAGUCAACAAAUAUAAAGUAUUAUACAUAAAAUUUUAUUAUAAAAUGUCAAAUUCCAUUGUACCAUGGCAUAAUUUUAAAAUUAUAUUUAUAAAUAUAUAAUUUAUGAUAAUUAACCCACGCAUCGCGCUGGCUGGUGAGGUAAUAUAUAAUAAAGUAAAAACCAAAAUUUACAAUUAUAACCCUAUUUUAAUUUAAGUUCAUUCAGUUGUAAAAGCAGGUCGCACAAGCUAUAAGUGAUUUUUUUUUUUUUUUUUUUUUUACAAGUGUAAUUUUGAAAGCAGCUGAAUGAAUUAGAUGAAUUAUAUGUAUAAUUCAUAGUAAAAAUUUACUAUUUUAUGAAAUAAAGUUUAUAUAUCUACAUUUUCAAAUAUUAUUAAUUUGAAAAAAAUAAAAUAAACGAUUAAUUAUGUGUUUCAAACUCUUAUUUUUAAUUUUUUACCAAUGUAUGUUAUACAUUGAAUAUUUAUUUUAACUUUUACGUAUGCAAAAUAUAAGAUUAUUCAUUAAACAUAAUUUUAAUUAAAAAAUUUCAAUGUUAGAUACGUAUGUAAGAAUGGUUUAUUAAUUUUUUAAAGCCAAGCUAGGUUUUAUCGACUCUAUUUUCAUCUUUUUUUUUAAUUUUAUUUUUUAUUAAACUGAUUUCCAUCUUAUGUCCAAUUUUUACAUCUUUACUAUAUAUAUGUUUUUUAUUUCUAAUAUGAUUAAGUGAUUUUAAGAAUUAUUCUCUCCAAUUUUUAACUUUAUAAAUUGGAAAAAAUAAAUAUAUACUACACUCUACAUAAUUCACUGCUUAGAAAUUAAGCCAACAAAUUGUGUGAGCAUGAAUAUUAUUUUUUUAAUUAGUUAUUUCAACUUAAUUGUCAUGGUUAAAUUUGAUUCAUCCUUAUAAAUAUCAAAAUUUUCAUCCUAACAUAAAAUUUUUAAUUAUUGUAAAUUAAAUUUAUUUUUUUGUAUUAAUAUUAAAAAUAAUUUACCGUAACAUUACGCGGUUCUAUCUAGUCGUAUUAACAAUAAUAAUAAUCCCAAAUCAAUAAGCACGGGUAAAGAAUGUUUGACAUUGUCUCAGUUCAACGGGGACAGAUUUUUUUUAAAUAUUUUCAAUUUAUCUUUUUUUUUAAUGAAUAAUUAUAAAUACUUAUAAUUAUUUUUCAUUAGUUUAGUUUGUUUUUUAAAAAUAUUUUUAAUUUAUUAUUUUUUCUAAUGAUUAGAAAUAUCUAUAUUUGAUCAGAUAAUUAUUCUUAUUAGUUUAAUUUAUGUAAAGAACUAUAGAUGGGUCUAGACAAAUUAAUUCCAGUAAAAUGAGGAAAAAUAAAAAAAAAGGCCAAAAAGCUUUUUAAUUUCUUUUUUUUUUUUUUUUUUUUUUUAAAUACGGCUUUGGCAAGCAGCGGUACAACUUAACAUAAAAACUACUACAAUCAAUAAAUUUCGCUCUCCUCCUUAAUAGGUCUCCUUUAUACGUUCAUCAUUCCAGAAGCAUAACUGACGCCGGUUGCCGGAAUCCAAAGAUCUCCGCCAAUGAAUUUAGCAACAGUGAAAGCAGCAGCAUCCUGUGCCGACAAUUUCUUGAUACCCUUCCAUGUAACUCUAUCCUUGGUGACUGAACCAGGUCCUCUAUUUUCGUACUCGGAGUAAGAGAGAGUGUCAAGAGCAAAAGAACCCAUCCAUGGCAACCAUCCCUUUGGAUCAAUCAAAUCAUCGAUUUGACAUUGCAUGUAUACAGUCCUUGAGUACUCUUUCCAUGGGCGACCAAGAUAGGCCUUGUUCUCGAAUCUAACAGGAUAAUACUCUGGGUCUGCGGUAAUAUUGCAGUUUUGGAGAACAAAACCAGUGGCUUCGCGUGAUUCAUUCCUUCCUUGAGCAGUCACAACGCAAUUUUGAUUUUCCAAUGGCUUCCUGACCACAAUCUUGCAAUUCUGGAAGACUGCGGCGGCGUCACCAAAGAUGAAGUCAAUAGUGCCUGUGAUGGUGCAAUCGCGGUAGAACUGACGGUGGGUGUGAGCAAAAAGGGUAUCUUGGUAGCCAUCCAUUUGGCAAUUGUAGAAAAUAGACAUAUCAGAUUGAACCCUAAGUGCCACAGCUUGAUGUCCGAUAGCUCCUGCUGUGUUCUCAAAUCCAAUGUCCUUGGCUAUGAAGUGGUUUCCACUCACCGCUAUAAUAAUUGAUUAAACCACAAAUAUAUCAUUAAUUAGACAAAAGUUAAAACAAAAAGAAGGAAUUUAGAUAUUACUACUUACAAACAGUUGAUGUUUGGAGUGUUUGGACACCAGCAGCAUAGUUGAGGUCUCCGGUGAUCCUUGUCUUAGUAGCACCAUCACCGAUCAUCAUAAUAUGGGUCACGCUCCUUGAGAUGGUGACUUGCUCCUUGUAGAUACCUUUCUUUAUAUAUAUAACAAAUGUUGUGUUUUGGUUCUUGGGAAUCUUGUGAACAGCUUCAUUAAUAGUCUUGUAUUGGCCACUCCCGUCUUUAGCAACAACGAUAUCAGGCUUAACUGUGUCUGGAGUUUGUGCAAGUAAUCUCCUUUUUUCAUGGGACAACCAAGAAGGAAACUCAGAAUUAUCUUUCAACAGUCUACGUCCUGUCAAUCCUGCAAGGUUCAAAUCCUUAAGCAUGGAAGAGAGGCCAGUUAUCAUAGCUAGACCGUUGCUGCUAAGUUGACUAGAAAGAGUUAAGAUUUCCUUCAUUUUGGCUCCAGCUGGACCAGUAGUAUUGUCAAAGCCAUCCAAACAAGUUUGUUGAUAAGUGAUGGUGGCGCUAAGCCAAAUCUUGAGAUUUUCCAGAUACUCAUCCAUUUUACUAACAUCAAAGUGUCCAACUUCUUCGAAGGAAACCUUGAGAUCAUGAAUGGCAUCGUCCAUUAAUUCUUUGCAAUUAUCAAGCGCUUGUUUUGCCAUUGGAUCUUUUGCUACUUCUUUUAAUGUGGAUGAGUUCUGUAAGGCUUGUUGAAGGGCAUCAAUGGUCACCUGAAAGCCGGCCUGGACAAGCUUGUGAGGAUCGGUGGUGUUACCUGCGGCUUUUCUAAGACUUUUUUCACAGAUUUCUCUGUAAUCCGUAGGUUGGCAGAUAGACUGGACUGACUUCGACGACGUGGUUAUUUCGGCCGAAGGGUUUGAGCCAUCUUGGUGGUCGCCGCUGUUGAUUCCGUAUGCUACAGCAAUCACCAUAGCCACCAGAAGAAAUGAUGUGACGCCAAAAAUGGCAUACUUCUUUUUCUUCCCGGUUGGAUCUCCGACGCCGCCACCAGCCAUCUUUAUUAGUCUUAGUUUAAGCUACAACACCACCGAUCUUCUUGUUUUUUUUAGGAGAAUAUGAUCAAGAAGAGAAACAAAAUUGGAGGAAAUAAAAACCUAAUCAAUGGUAUUAAGAAGUAUACAGAGCUGUUGGGGGUUUAAGAUUAUUGAAUAACUGCCCCGAAGCUCUGACUUGGGAAAACAAAACAUAGAGAAACCCUUUAUAUAUGAAGUGAAAUUCUAAAAAACUGUUAUUUCUGUUACAAAUUUGUGAGGUGUGGAAGAGACUUUACUAAAAUUAGGGUAAUUUUUUCCAUUUGACUAAGAUAAGGGAUCUAUCUUUCGCAGUAAAAUAGGUUUAGAGCUGACCAAUUCUCAUUGUUGGCAAUGCAUAAGAAAAUUAAGGGUAAUUGGAAGUUCUUUUGCCUGUUUAUUUUGAAAUAACAUAUUAAAGUACUUUUGAUCAAAGUUAAUUAAGCAACUGUAUUUAAGUUUAAAAUCUACAUAAUACAUAUAGUCUGCUUAAAAUUCCAUGGACCCAACCGCGCCCAAACCCAUCUUUCAUAAGGGGUCAAGGUAAUAUUCGUCCAUUACAACCUGAACAAGGUAAACCAGAAGCCAGUCUUUCCAUUUUCGGACCCUAAAUUUCAGAAAUGCUUGCGACCUUUCCAAGCUGAAAAAGAAAAAGGUAAGGGUAUUCGUGAGAUCGUACGUAGAGAAAGAAUGUGUUUCAGCUAUAUUUGCCUGCUUUGAUUAUCAUUCAUCCAUUUUUGAGUUCUUUCUUGAAGGAAUAUUGGGCAAAUAGAGGUUGAUCUAUGGAUAGUGAUGAGAUUAAUUAAUGGUUUUAGUCAUCAUUAAUUAGGUUUUCAUUCUAUUUUCUUGGGCAUAUUAUUACUUCCCUUUUCUUUUUUCUUGGGAAUUAUUAGGUUGAUCCAUUUUGCAUUAUAUUGAUAUAUAUUUUUCUAUUCUUUCAUUUGAUGUCAGCAAUUAAAAUGAUCUCUUCAAAUUUUACUUGUUAGAAUCAAUUUUUUUAUAUUUUCCUUUUCAAAUUAAUUGAAAUUGAAAUUAAUUGUAUUUCGUACAUCGAGUAUUUGAAAGGAGUGAUGUGAUAAAGAUUAAAAAUUAAUCAAAUACUUAGCAAGAACAUUUUGCUCCUUAAUGGACCAAUCCAGGGUGAACAAGAUUUAAUUUUAAACUGCUUAAAUUAAAAUGAGUAACAUGACUAAGAUGAGUGGUGUGACGAGGAUUUAAUCUUAAUAAAUUAAACAAAUACUUACCGAAGAUCUUUGCUUCUUG